This 267-nucleotide ribosomal RNA is filed under the name uncultured bacterium. RNAcentral describes it as "partial 16S ribosomal RNA". It matches the Rfam family "Bacterial small subunit ribosomal RNA", at positions 88 to 354 of the family's 1533-position model. The record is from RNAcentral.
CCGGCGACCGGCGCACGGGUGAGUAACACGUAUGGAACCUGCCCGCAGCAGGGGGAUAAGCGGAAGAAAUUCCGUCUAAUACCGCGUAACAACGUUGGGAGGCAUCUCCCGAUGUUUAAAGAUUUAUCGGCUGCGGAUGGCCAUGCGGCGCAUUAGCUAGUCGGCGGGGUAACGGCCCACCGAGGCGACGAUGCGUAGGGGUUCUGAGAGGAACGGUCCCCCACACUGGUACUGAGACACGGACCAGACUCCUACGGAAGGCAGCAG